Molecule: RNase P RNA, 423 nt
Filed under: Candidatus Iainarchaeum sp.
Lineage: Archaea; Nanobdellati; Candidatus Iainarchaeota; Candidatus Iainarchaeia; Candidatus Iainarchaeales; Candidatus Iainarchaeaceae
Description: RNase P RNA component
Rfam family: Archaeal RNase P
About the family: Ribonuclease P (RNase P) is a ubiquitous endoribonuclease, found in archaea, bacteria and eukarya as well as chloroplasts and mitochondria.
Source: RNAcentral
AGCAGUGCAAGACUGGCUAACGGUUUUCAGAUUUUGAAAACUGAGGAAAGUCCUCCCAUUCGCAAUAAAUCCUGCAAAGGAAAACCUGUGAAGGUUUCCUCUGGAGCAGAAACGAACCUAGUUCAAUCAAUAACCUGUGAUUCAAAAAUGAGGGAUUGAAAAAAGGAUGAAACGGCUGGAGGUAAAACUUUUUUGGCCACCAAGCAAAAUCAAAGAUUUUGCGGGUUUCACAAAAUUAAGGUUUUGUGAAAAGCUUUUGGGCGAAGCCAAAAAGGUUGUUGAAUGCAAGCCUUGAAGGCGCUUAGACAAAUGCCAGUUGCUUUUUACAGCAAUGUAAAAAGAAGAGCAAACGCAGUUCACUACUGCAGAAAUCCAACAAGUGAUUUCGUUGCUAAAACAGAAGGAGGCUUACUCUGCACUGCU